GUUGGAUUACAUCAUCUUUACAUAGCUAUCUUUUGCUUUAGCACUUGUUGCAUGGAUAGUACAAUGUAUUACAAUGCAAUAAUAAAUAAACAUAUAUCAUAUAUUUAGAGUACUUCAUAGUCUUCUUCAGUAGCCCAUGGAUAUCUUUUGUAAUUAUUCUUAAUCUGAGAAGGAUUUUGAGGUGUAGACCAUGGGUACUUCAUUGAUGGAUCUCUUGGCAACUUUCUGAAGUUCAAAAAUGGUGCCCAUAGAAGAAUCCCGGGAAAGAAAAUGAAGACAAA
This 281-nucleotide unclassified non-coding RNA is filed under the name Hevea brasiliensis (rubber tree). The record is from RNAcentral. Lineage: Eukaryota; Viridiplantae; Streptophyta; Magnoliopsida; Malpighiales; Euphorbiaceae.